AUGUAUGCUGGUGUCAAUCCCACCUCAGAGAUAAGGAAGUCUGACUUGCUCUGCAGCAGACCACCUGAAAAUGUUCUUCAAGCUGUCCACUUUGGCGGCGAUAUUCUCCUCACGGAGAGCUGCAACAGCAUUCAGGGCGCGCCAGAACAUCCUAGAGCCACGGGGUACGCCUAGACCUUCGGCGAAUGCCACCAUCGCCCGGAGGCGGUCUAUGUUGAUGGUGAGCAUCCUCGACCGAGCGGCGCACAGCUUGGCAAUAUCACAAGCACCUAG
RNAcentral lists this ribosomal RNA (273 nucleotides) under Triticum aestivum (bread wheat). RNAcentral's name for it is "partial small subunit ribosomal RNA". The record is from RNAcentral. Lineage: Eukaryota; Viridiplantae; Streptophyta; Magnoliopsida; Poales; Poaceae.